GCAUCCGUAGCUCAGCUGGAUAGAGUACUCGGCUACGAACCGAGCGGUCCGGAGGUUCGAAUCCUCCCGGAUGCACCA
This 78-nucleotide transfer RNA is filed under the name Salmonella enterica. RNAcentral describes it as "tRNA-Arg". It matches the Rfam family "tRNA". Rfam says of the family: Transfer RNA (tRNA) molecules are approximately 80 nucleotides in length. Their secondary structure includes four short double-helical elements and three loops (D, anti-codon, and T loops). Further hydrogen bonds mediate the characteristic L-shaped molecular structure. tRNAs have two regions of fundamental functional importance: the anti-codon, which is responsible for specific mRNA codon recognition, and the 3' end, to which the tRNAs corresponding amino acid is attached (by aminoacyl-tRNA synthetases). tRNAs cope with the degeneracy of the genetic code in two manners: having more than one tRNA (with a specific anti-codon) for a particular amino acid; and 'wobble' base-pairing, i.e. permitting non-standard base-pairing at the 3rd anti-codon position. RNAcentral also lists the same sequence under 1 other name. The record is from RNAcentral. Lineage: Bacteria; Pseudomonadati; Pseudomonadota; Gammaproteobacteria; Enterobacterales; Enterobacteriaceae.